GUAAUGUAAUGUAGUGUAAUGUUGUGUAAUGUAAUGUAAUGUCACGUAACAGUCUAAUGUAGUGUAAUGUAAUCCUGCUACAACACAACAACAAACCUAAUUUAGGAGUUAUACAGAGAUGUUACUACCAGGCUGUUACCAGGUGGAGACGUGGUUCAGACUGGACCAGUUUGAGAAGUAGCAUGUUAUUAGCAUGUUAUCAGAAUGCUAAUAACAUGUUACCAGGUGGAGACGGUGUCGUGUUUCAGACUGGACCAGUUUGAGAAGUAGCAUGUUAUUAGCAUGUUAUCAGAAUACUAAUAACAUGUUACCAGGUAGAGACGUGGUUCAGACUGGACCAGUUUGAGAAGUAGCAUGUUAUUAGCAUGUUAUCAGAAUACUAAUAACAUGUUACCAGGUAGAGACGUGGUUCAGACUGGACCAGUUUGAGAAGUAGCAUGUUAUCAGAAUACUGAUAACAUGUUACCAGGUGGAGACGGUGUCGUGUUUCAGACUGGACCAGUUUGAGAAGUAACAGAAUACUAAUAACAUGUUACCAGGUAGAGACGGUGUCGUGUUUCAGACUGGACCAGUUUGAGAAGUAACAGAAUACUAA
Oncorhynchus mykiss (rainbow trout) is the source of this 595-nucleotide non-coding RNA. The record is from RefSeq and is a predicted model, not a curated record. Lineage: Eukaryota; Metazoa; Chordata; Actinopteri; Salmoniformes; Salmonidae.